RNAcentral lists this ribosomal RNA (486 nucleotides) under uncultured bacterium. RNAcentral's name for it is "partial 16S ribosomal RNA". It matches the Rfam family "Bacterial small subunit ribosomal RNA", at positions 30 to 507 of the family's 1533-position model. The record is from RNAcentral.
AUUGAACGCUGGCGGCAUGCCUUACACAUGCAAGUCGAACGGCAGCACGGGUGCUUGCACCUGGUGGCGAGUGGCGAACGGGUGAGUAAUACAUCGGAACAUGUCCUGUAGUGGGGGAUAGCCCGGCGAAAGCCGGAUUAAUACCGCAUACGAUCUACGGAUGAAAGCGGGGGACCUUCGGGCCUCGCGCUAUCGGGUUGGCCGAUGGCUGAUUAGCUAGUUGGUGGGGUAAAGGCCUACCAAGGCGACGAUCAGUAGCUGGUCUGAGAGGACAACCAGCCACACUGGGACUGAGACACGGCCCAGACUCCUACGGGAGGCAGCAGUGGGGAAUUUUGGACAAUGGGCGAAAGCCUGAUCCAGCAAUGCCGCGUGUGUGAAGAAGGCCUUCGGGUUGUAAAGCACUUUUGUCCGGAAAGAAAUCCUUGGCCCUAAUACGGUCGGGGGAUGACGGUACCGGAAGAAUAAGCACCGGCUAACUACGUG